UUGGAGGGCAAGUCUGGUGCCUUGGAGGGCAAGUCUGGUGCCAGCAGCCGCGGUAAUUCCAGCUCCAAUAGCGUAUAUUAAAGUUGUUGCAGUUAAAGAGCUCGUAGUUGAAUUUCGGGACCAAUUUGUUGGUCGUGCCUCGGUACGUACUGGUAUUAUUGGUUUCUCCCUUCUGAAGAACCUUGAUGUCAUUAAUUUGGUGUCUUGGGGAAUCAGGACUGUUACUUUGAAAAAAUUAGAGUGUUUAAAGCAGGC
This 255-nucleotide ribosomal RNA is filed under the name uncultured fungus. RNAcentral describes it as "partial 18S ribosomal RNA". It matches the Rfam family "Eukaryotic small subunit ribosomal RNA", at positions 525 to 785 of the family's 1831-position model. The record is from RNAcentral. Lineage: Eukaryota; Fungi.